This 460-nucleotide ribosomal RNA is filed under the name uncultured bacterium. RNAcentral describes it as "partial 16S ribosomal RNA". It matches the Rfam family "Bacterial small subunit ribosomal RNA", at positions 338 to 795 of the family's 1533-position model. The record is from RNAcentral.
CCUACGGGUGGCAACAGUGAGGAAUAUUGGUCAAUGGACGAGAGUCUGAACCAGCCAAGUAGCGUGAAGGAUGACUGCCCUAUGGGUUGUAAACUUCUUUUAUAUGGGAAUAAAAUGUUCCACGUGUGGGAUUUUGUAUGUACCAUAUGAAUAAGGAUCGGCUAACUCCGUGCCAGCAGCCGCGGUAAUACGGAGGAUCCGAGCGUUAUCCGGAUUUAUUGGGUUUAAAGGGAGCGUAGGUGGAUUGUUAAGUCAGUUGUGAAAGUUUGCGGCUCAACCGUAAAAUUGCAGUUGAAACUGGCAGUCUUGAGUACAGUAGAGGUGGGCGGAAUUCGUGGUGUAGCGGUGAAAUGCUUAGAUAUCACGAAGAACUCCGAUUGCGAAGGCAGCUCACUGGACUGCAACUGACACUGAGGCUCGAAAGCGUGGGGAGCAAACAGGAUUAGAUACCCUUGUAGUC